Long non-coding RNA from Physeter macrocephalus (sperm whale), 2466 nucleotides. RefSeq lists it as uncharacterized. Lineage: Eukaryota; Metazoa; Chordata; Mammalia; Artiodactyla; Physeteridae. The transcript is spliced from 3 exons. The record is from RefSeq and is a predicted model, not a curated record.
GGUAGGAAUGAAUUGAUAGCCAGAUACAUCAAACUCAGGACAGGGAAGACGAGGACCAGAAAACAGGUGUCUAGUCAUAUACAGGUCUUAGCAAGAAAGAAAGUUCGAGAAAUUCAAGCCGCCAUUAAGGUGUCUAGUCACAUUCAGGUUCUUGCCAGAAGGAAAUCUCGUGAUUUUCAUUCCAAGCUAAAGGUAUGCGCUUUCCUGCUUUUUGGCUUGUGGUUGCUAUGCAUCUCACUUCCUGUUUUCCAUGGUGACUGGUGAAUGCCUGGUGCUGGGAUUCUGGUAACCUAGUUUCCUCGCAUGUGAGAGCUGUUUACAUUUCUUUGUGUCUAAUCUCUCUGUUUCUGUACUAGCCUCACAUUAAGCUCAGAGAGAGAGAGAGGAAGAGAGAGUGUUGUGUGUGUGUGUGUUUGUGUGUGUGUGUGUGUCCCUAAUAACAAUGCAAAUGCAGCAGAGAGCUGGUCUUGAUAACUUUUCAGCACAGAAACAUGAUUUUUUUUUUUACCCUUCAAAUAUCCACCAAGCAGCCCUGAGCUAGGAGAGGGAAAAAAAAGUCAAAGAGAUGCAAAGUUGGUGUAGAAAUUAUAAAUGAAUCAUUUCCAAGUGGCCAUCAUGAAAUUACUUUGAAAAAAAUUCAGAAAUUAUUUUAAUUUGUGCUUUUGAUGUAUUUUCAGUACUUAUGAAAAAUACAUCUUCUUCAUGUAAUUUUUCAUGUGUUCUUCCAACAGAGAGUAUUUUCUGCCAGAUUUCUUCCACAUUGCUUAAUGUUUUUUAAGUGUGUGGCUUUGUUAAUUAAAAAAGAAAUUUGAGGUGAGGGCUUAAAAAAAGAUAGGUCUUAGAGAUGGGAAAGCUCUUGAUCAAAUCCAUGUUUGCAAUUCCGUUUGUACGUGAGUUUAUUAUUUUUUUUGUACAUGUGCCUCAUUUUCCGGUCUUUUAAAAUAUAUUUCAUAGCAAAAACAGAGGCAUGGACGACUUAAAAAUGCAAGUUCUCCCUAUUUUCUCCCUUUCCAAAACUUGCAGUAAAGCAUACCUGACUUUUUUUCCUCCAUAAUGCCCUAUUUGAGAAAUGCAAAGGAAUUAUAGUUUGCAUGGAGGAGCUUUACUUUAUAAUAAAAAUGAAUCUGUAGUCCAUAUUGUUGUCUUUCCCACAGGCCUGUUUUUGGUUCUGUUCUGAUUUUUCCCCCCCAUACAUUAAGUAAAUUUGUGUUUUUGUUCUAAACUAAAGGACAAAGUGUAAUUUCACAGCCCCAAGUGGUGAACACUGGGACCCUUCCCAAAAGCCUCCAACAUUUUUUAUGCAAACGAAGCUGACUGUGGAAUAGGUCUAGCGACCAGGAAGGUGCAUUUGGGGUGCCCUCUGCAGUGGGCAGCAUGCUGGCUCGCUCGCUCACACAUGUGGCUGAUGGUGGCUGGCUUUUAGUUGCACUGGCUGAGCAGUUGGAAGACUAAAAUAACUUCGUAGCUCCUGCUUUUUAACCGAAGGUGCAGUCCUUUCUAUGUGGAUGUAACUACCCCAGUGUUUGCUCAAGUUCUCACUCUGUUUCUAGUUUCUCUAACGGAUUAAUGAUGUACAAAGAAGUUUACAGACAUCAAUUUUGUGUUUCCAUCUGUGAUGUUAUGAAUUGUUCUAUUUCUGCACUGUGUGGUUCCUGUAUGCUCACCAGGGCACAUGGCUCUGGACCGAAAGCCCUGUAAAUGGUGGGUAAAGCUCUCCGGGUCAGAGGGGAUCCCCAUGGGAUUCCACAAGCACUCUUUUUCUCUCUUGGUGACUUUACAAAUUUUCCUCAGUGGAAACAGUUUUGCCAUUACCUUAUACAUACACAUACAUACCAACACACAGUCGUGUUUGUGUUUGUUCUUUAAAAAAGACUUCCCCCCACUUUCAGCCAGCCCUGGACCACUCUCCUCUGGGGCAGGCACGAAGAAGAGGCAGAAACAGAGGCAGUGGGGUAGCAACUGGCUCGGCAUUUCAUCUCCAAGAACCACCUCCAUCUUCUUACAGUUCCUUUCCUUCCUCCUUACCUCAUUAUUCUUGGAAAAAUGGAGGCCUUUGUUCUUCCCAUCAGCUAAUACCAGUCGAGUGUUCCAGGCAUGGCGCUUAUCACAGUGGGCAGUUAACAACCAAGCCUCUAUUCACAGAGCUGGCCGUGGAAAUGGGAAUGUGAAAUAUAGGGCACUGUAGGAUAAGUGUUCGCAGAAAGAGCCAAAGUUAAAUGUGUAGGCAAUCCCAGAGACGAGCUGUGUGGACAAUGUGCUGCUGAGUUUGGGGAUGAAAGACAGGAGUUAGUGCAGUGCAGAGCCUCUUGUGUGUUCUCUCAUGUAAGCUCACUACAAAGUGAGCUCCAUUCUUCGGAUUUUGAGGAGUAACAGGGAUCCAAAGGUUUAAUUAACUCACCAAAAGCCAUCCAGCAUAGGAGGUGGCUAAGUCAGGAUUUGAACUUUCUGAAUCCUAAACCACUGCUC